This 1408-nucleotide ribosomal RNA is filed under the name uncultured bacterium. RNAcentral describes it as "bacterial SSU rRNA". It matches the Rfam family "Bacterial small subunit ribosomal RNA". The record is from RNAcentral.
AGAGUUUGAUCCUGGCUCAGGAUGAACGCUAGCGACAGGCUUAACACAUGCAAGUCGAGGGGCAUCGGGGCGAGGAGCAAUCCUUGCCGCCGGCGACCGGCGCACGGGUGAGUAACGCGUAUGCGACCUGCCCGUUGCAGGGGGAUAAUCGGGAGAAAUCCCGUCUAAUACCGCGUAAUGCCGCGGGGCUGCAUGGCCCUGCGGCCAAAGGAAGCGAUUCCGGCAACGGAUGGGCAUGCGUGACAUUAGCUAGUUGGCGGGGCAACGGCCCACCAAGGCGACGAUAUCUAGGGGUUCUGAGAGGAAGGUCCCCCACACUGGUACUGAGACACGGACCAGACUCCUACGGGAGGCAGCAGUGAGGAAUAUUGGUCAAUGGGCGCGAGCCUGAACCAGCCAAGUCGCGUGAGAGAUGACGGCCCUACGGGUUGUAAACCUCUUUUGUCGGGGAGCAAAUUCCGCCACGCGUGGCGGAGUCGAGAGUACCCGAAGAAAAAGCAUCGGCUAACUCCGUGCCAGCAGCCGCGGUAAUACGGAGGAUGCGAGCGUUAUCCGGAUUUAUUGGGUUUAAAGGGUGCGUAGGCGGACUGUCAAGUCAGCGGUAAAAUACGGGGGCUCAACCUCCGCCCGCCGUUGAAACUGACGGUCUUGAGUGGGCGAGAAGUAUGCGGAAUGCGUGGUGUAGCGGUGAAAUGCAUAGAUAUCACGCAGAACUCCGAUUGCGAAGGCAGCAUACCGGCGCCCAACUGACGCUGAAGCACGAAAGCGUGGGUAUCGAACAGGAUUAGAUACCCUGGUAGUCCACGCAGUAAACGAUGAAUACUAGCUGUCCGGGGCGAAUGAGCUCUGGGUGGCACAGCGAAAGCGUUAAGUAUUCCACCUGGGGAGUACGCCGGCAACGGUGAAACUCAAAGGAAUUGACGGGGGCCCGCACAAGCGGAGGAACAUGUGGUUUAAUUCGAUGAUACGCGAGGAACCUUACCCGGGCUCAAACGGGGAGUGACUCAGGCAGAGACGCCUGUUUCCCACGGGACACUCCCCGAGGUGCUGCAUGGUUGUCGUCAGCUCGUGCCGUGAGGUGUCGGCUUAAGUGCCAUAACGAGCGCAACCCCCGCGUGCAGUUGCUAACAGAUAACGCUGAGGACUCUGCACGGACUGCCGGCGCAAGCCGCGAGGAAGGCGGGGAUGACGUCAAAUCAGCACGGCCCUUACGUCCGGGGCGACACACGUGUUACAAUGGGUGGUACAGCGGGAAGCCAGGCGGCGACGCCGAGCGGAACCCGAAAUCCACUCUCAGUUCGGAUCGGAGUCUGCAACCCGACUCCGUGAAGCUGGAUUCGCUAGUAAUCGCGCAUCAGCCAUGGCGCGGUGAAUACGUUCCCGGGCCUUGCACUCACCGCCCGUCAAG